RNAcentral lists this ribosomal RNA (406 nucleotides) under uncultured bacterium. Its description in RNAcentral is "partial 16S ribosomal RNA". It matches the Rfam family "Bacterial small subunit ribosomal RNA", at positions 30 to 526 of the family's 1533-position model. The record is from RNAcentral.
AUUGAACGCUGGCGGCAGGCUUAACACAUGCAAGUCGAACGAGUGGCGGACGGGUGAGUAAUGUCUGGGCAACUGCCUGAUGGAGGGGGAUAACUACUGGAAACGGUAGCUAAUACCGCAUACCAUCGGAUGUGCCCAGAGGGGAUUAGCUAGUAGGUGGGGUAAAGGCUCACCUAGGCGACGAUCCCUAGCUGGUCUGAGAGGAUGCCCAGCCACAAUGGAACUGAGACACGGUCAAGACUCCUACGGGGGGCAGAAGUGGGUAUAAUUGCACAAUGGGCGAAAGCCUGAUGCAGCCAUGCCGCGUGUCUGAGGAAGGCCUUCGGGUUGUAAAGUACUUUCAGCGGGAAGGCGUUACCCGCAGAAGAAGCAACGGCUAACUCCGUGCCAGCAGCCGCGGUAAUAC